RNAcentral lists this ribosomal RNA (253 nucleotides) under uncultured bacterium. RNAcentral's name for it is "partial 16S ribosomal RNA". It matches the Rfam family "Bacterial small subunit ribosomal RNA", at positions 524 to 776 of the family's 1533-position model. The record is from RNAcentral.
UACGUAGGGGCCGAGCGUUGUCCGGAGUUAUUGGGCGUAAAGAGCUCGUAGGCGGCUUGUCGCGUCGGCUGUGAAAACCUGGGGCUCAACCCCGGGCCUGCAGCCGAUACGGGCAAGCUAGAAUUCGGUAGGGGAGACUGGAAUUCCUGGUGUAGCGGUGAAAUGCGCAGAUAUCAGGAGGAACACCGAUGGCGAAGGCAGGUCUCUGGGCCACUACUGACGCUGAGAAGCGAAAGCAUGGGGAGCGAACAGG